This 245-nucleotide ribosomal RNA is filed under the name uncultured bacterium. RNAcentral's name for it is "partial 16S ribosomal RNA". It matches the Rfam family "Bacterial small subunit ribosomal RNA", at positions 524 to 768 of the family's 1533-position model. The record is from RNAcentral.
UACAGAGGGUGCAAGCGUUGUUCGGAAUUAUUGGGCGUAAAGGGCGCGUAGGUGGCGCGGUAAGUCACCUGUGAAAUCUCCCGGCUUAACAGGGAGCCUGCAGGCGAAACUGCCGUGCUGGAGUAUGGGAGAGGUGCGUGGAGUUCCCGGUGUAGCGGUGAAAUGCGUAGAUAUCGGGAGGAACACCUGUGGCGAAAGCGGCGCACUGGACCAUAACUGACGCUGAUGCGCGAAAGCUAGGGGAG